GACGAACGCUGGCGGCGUGCUUAACACAUGCAAGUCGAACGGGCCUUGUCCCCUUUUUUUUUGGGGGUGGGGUUAGUGGCGAACGGGUGAGUAACACGUGAGUAACCUGCCCCUCACUUCUGGAUAACCGCUUGAAAGGGUGGCUAAUACGGGGUGUUCUGGCCUGCUCGCAUGGGUGGGGUUGGAAAGAUUCGACCGGUUUUGGUUGUUUUGGUGGGGGAUGGGCUCGCGGCCUAUCAGCUUGUUGGGGGGGUGAUGGCCUGCCAAGGCUUUGACGGGUAGCCGGCGUGAGAGGGUGGGCGGUCACACUGGGACUGAGACACGGCCCAGACUCCUAGGGGAGGCAGCAGUGGGGAAUAUUGCACAAUGGGCGCAAGCCUGAUGCAGCGACGCCGCGUGAGGGAUGGAGGCCUUCGGGUUGUGAACCUCUUUCGCCAGUGAAGAAGGUCCUGCUCUUUGCGGUGGGGUUGACGGUAGCUGGGUUAAUGAAGCGCCGGCUAACUACGUG
Molecule: ribosomal RNA, 508 nt
Filed under: uncultured bacterium
Lineage: Bacteria
Description: partial 16S ribosomal RNA
Rfam family: Bacterial small subunit ribosomal RNA
Source: RNAcentral